Helianthus annuus (common sunflower) is the source of this 1012-nucleotide long non-coding RNA. RefSeq lists it as uncharacterized. The transcript has 5 exons. The record is from RefSeq and is a predicted model, not a curated record. Lineage: Eukaryota; Viridiplantae; Streptophyta; Magnoliopsida; Asterales; Asteraceae.
GAAUGACAACCCAUUUUAAAGUGCAGUUCAUUUUUCUUAGGGUUUCAUACACUUUUCUCCGCCGUGUAAACUCCGGCGAAAACCCACGAUCAUCAUCUUUCUCUCGUCGCUCUAACCUAGGGUUUCAUACACUUUUCUGCCGCCGUAUAAAUUCCGGCGAAAACCCACGAUCAUCAACGAUCUACUCCAACGAUGGUGGUUGUUCCGUGUUUGAUCGGCGCUGCAUGUUCUUCUUCUUCUCUCUCACUCUCUCUCUCUCUCUGACAUUUCUUCCCAAACAACUGUAGGGUUAUUUCCGAUGUUGUUAGGGUUUGCGGUGUCAAUCGGUGCAUUGCUUGAUAAACACUCAAAUCGUCACUCUCUGCUCGUCUUAUCGUAUCCAGAUUUAACCUAACAUCAUCGAAACUCACUUCAUUUUGGACCUGGGUAAAGGGAUAUCAUUUCUGGAUCUGGUCGAACAACAGGGGACCAAUCUUCGUUGUGUGAUAAUGUAAUUUAUAAGGUUGCCAUGAAUUGAUAUGUUAUUUUCUUUGACUUCUCCGUUACUAUUACUGUCAUUUGUUCCAUCAGUUUGUUGCUGUUCAAUCAUAAUUGGUGACUACAUGAAGUAAAAAUACUUAUUAAAGACAUGGGUUGUAAAUCAAACACAAAGCAAGAAGAUAAUUGGAAACUGCCGCUAACUGAAUAAUCAUGGGAGAGAGAGUGCAAAACCGACGCCAACUGCUGCUUCUAGAAGGAAUUUAGUGACUUUAAACGGCUGAGAUUAAAAGUUGAUGACUUUGAACGGCUGUAAUUAGCCCAAAUGGCGGUUACAAGCAACGGGAACAAUAUAAUAUAGAAUAUCAGGGUCUUCAAAUGCGCCUACUGUACCAACAUAUACAACAAUCAUUCAUAAAAAUUAAGCGAAAAAAUUUAUCGGAACUUGGUUCAUGCACGGUAAGAUCCAAACACAAACUUGAUGUAUGGUUAUGAGUAUUGAUAAAAAAAAAAAUUCAGAUAAUUCAAAAACAAA